Plectropomus leopardus (leopard coralgrouper) is the source of this 1028-nucleotide RNA transcript. RefSeq lists it as uncharacterized. Lineage: Eukaryota; Metazoa; Chordata; Actinopteri; Perciformes; Serranidae. The record is from RefSeq and is a predicted model, not a curated record.
GUUCCUGACAGACGAUGAAACCUUCAGCAACGUUUUAAGAUGAUUGGCUCACAGAAAACGGUAUCACCAUAGAUGCUCCCGAUGGUGCCAUUGGGCUCCUCCAAAACCGAGGCCACGGUCGAAAACCUGCUUUUGUUCGGGAAGGUUCCUCACUGAGGGAGAUGGACCGAAGUACCUGAGCGGCUGCCGUGACAACAGCUGUCUGAAUUCUCCUAAUAUGAAGGAAAGGUGGAGACGACUUGAGCUCCAAGUCGUUCGAAGAUUUCAUCGACGAUGAUCCAGCCGGUCCACUCCCACCAUGGUCCAGAGGUUUGCAGGGAGACAUCAUGCGUAACAUGAAAGUGGAGGACCAGAUUAAGUCAAGAGCUGCUGGAGAAGAAAGACCACCUGAGAAGAGCCGAUCGUCCCAGGACGGACAGGAGGGUCAUUCUGAGGAGGAGGGAAGAGUUCAUCCGGAAACGCCAUCCUGGGAUCAGAGCAGUUCGAGUCCGGCUGCGACUUUGGUUCGGUCAGCAAAGAGAGCGUCUGUGGGUCAGCAGAGGUGCAGGGUCGUCGUGUCACGGCGGUCGACCCUCCGGGAAUCACUAAUGAAGUUCUGACUCCCAGAAAGCUGCACCUGUAGAUCACGAAGUCUGCAGUCGAGGCCAGUCCAGGACCCCAUGCCUUUGUCCUGGUGGCCAGAUUAGGCCGAAUCACCAAAGCAGACAUCAAACUGUUUGAGAUACUGCAGAAACUGUUUGGCAGUGAGGCCUGUAAGAACUCCAUGGUGCUUUUCACUCGUGGAUCCGAGCUAAAGGUCAGUCCAUUGAUCAGAAGAUCCGGUCCGACGGUCAUGUGUCAGAUCUGGUCUCCAGGUGUGGUGGUAGAUUCUGUGUGCUAACAGAAGAGAGCAGCUGCCCACCCAGACCCCCUGUCCGCACACUCGUGCACCAAAACCAUAAAUUCAUUCAAUACAAAUCUUUAUUUGCAAAAGUGAAUAUAUCAGUGCAUAUCCAUCAUGGGUUUGUAUGCAGGUAAAUCUGUUUUUC